RNAcentral lists this long non-coding RNA (427 nucleotides) under Setaria viridis. RNAcentral describes it as "long non-coding RNA (SVIR_LNC001675)". Lineage: Eukaryota; Viridiplantae; Streptophyta; Magnoliopsida; Poales; Poaceae. The record is from RNAcentral.
CAUAAUCUUUAUCUUUUUAUUUAAAUACGUAAGCCUUUUCUUUUAUUUUAGAAAAGCAUUAUAAUAAUUUUCUAAUCUCAAAACUUAAUUCCUAUGAUUUAAUAAUAAUUUGUGAAUAAGAAAGCAUUAUUCAGAAUUUUAUGCUUUUAAUAAAGGUUAAGCAAUAAUUUAAAAACCUUAAUCAAAAGGCAUUAAAUAAAUACGUAGAUUGUAUUAUUUUUCCUAGGGUUUAAGAAUUUUAAUGCCUAAAGGAAAAUAAAACAAUCCUAAUAAAAUUGGUUUCACUAUUUUUGGACACUUCUACAAUUUCCAGUGAAUUAAAUGGUGUGGCAGUUAUUUAAAUCUAUUUUUAAAACUGAAAAUCCUGAACCUUAUUCGAAUAACCCCCUGGAAUUCUUUUUACACCCACCCCUAUUCUACCCCUCCU